GGACCACAGUUCAGUAGUUAGAUUAUCUGCUUUGCAAGCAGAGGGCCCCAGGUUCAAACCGUGGUAUCUCCA
Molecule: non-coding RNA, 72 nt
Organism: Podarcis lilfordi (Lilford's wall lizard)
Lineage: Eukaryota; Metazoa; Chordata; Lepidosauria; Squamata; Lacertidae
Source: the annotation of a GenBank genome assembly